Molecule: ribosomal RNA, 98 nt
Filed under: Vibrio cholerae
Lineage: Bacteria; Pseudomonadati; Pseudomonadota; Gammaproteobacteria; Vibrionales; Vibrionaceae
Source: RNAcentral
UUGGACCCACCUGAUUCCAUCCCGAACUCAGAAGUGAAACGAAACAGCGUCGAUGGUAGUGUGGGGUUUCCCCAUGUGAGAGUAGAACAUCGCCAGGC